GCCCGCCACAUGGUCACCGGUUUGGCCAAAAAUUUAAUCUCCACAUCCUCAGAGAAGCUCCACCAAUUUCCGCCAGGCAAAAUUGACGGAAGAAACUCAAAAAACUUCCUAAUUCUCCCAUGCAGCUCAAAAUUUUCUUCUCGCUGCUCUCCUUCAAACUGCUCUACAUGAUCCUUUUUAGCGAUGGAAAAUCCGUUAAUUGAAGAAGACUUCAGAGGACAGAAGCAACGUCGUCCACUGCUGAGGGAAAAUUCAGAGGGAGAGAAUCGGA
RNAcentral lists this unclassified non-coding RNA (271 nucleotides) under Hevea brasiliensis (rubber tree). Lineage: Eukaryota; Viridiplantae; Streptophyta; Magnoliopsida; Malpighiales; Euphorbiaceae. The record is from RNAcentral.